Molecule: ribosomal RNA, 351 nt
Filed under: uncultured bacterium
Lineage: Bacteria
Description: bacterial SSU rRNA
Rfam family: Bacterial small subunit ribosomal RNA
Source: RNAcentral
GGGCCCGCACAAGCGGUGGAACAUGUGGUUUAAUUCGACGCAACGCGAAGAACCUUACCAGGGUUUGACAUCCUGCGAAUCUCUUGGAAACAGGAGAGUGCCUUCGGGAACGCAGUGACAGGUGGUGCAUGGCUGUCGUCAGCUCGUGUCGUGAGAUGUUGGGUUAAGUCCCGCAACGAGCGCAACCCACGUCUUUAGUUGCCAGCAUUUAGUUGGGCACUCUAGAGAGACUGCCGGUGAUAACCGGAGAAGGUGUGGAUGACGUCAAGUCAUCAUGCCCCUUACAUCCUGGGCUACACACGUACUACAAUGCUACGGACAAAGGGCAGCAAGUUCGCGAGGACAAGCAAA